This 467-nucleotide ribosomal RNA is filed under the name uncultured bacterium. RNAcentral's name for it is "partial 16S ribosomal RNA". It matches the Rfam family "Bacterial small subunit ribosomal RNA", at positions 28 to 506 of the family's 1533-position model. The record is from RNAcentral.
GACGAACGCUGGCGGCGUGCUUAACACAUGCAGGUCGAACGGAAAGGCCCUGCUUUUGUGGGGUGCUCGAGUGGCGAACGGGUGAGUAACACGUGAGUAACCUGCCCUUGACUUUGGGAUAACUUCAGGAAACUGGGGCUAAUACCGGAUAGGAGCUCCUGCUGCAUGGUGGGGGUUGGAAAGUUUCGGCGGUUGGGGAUGGACUCGCGGCUUAUCAGCUUGUUGGUGGGGUAGUGGCUUACCAAGGCUUUGACGGGUAGCCGGCCUGAGAGGGUGACCGGCCACAUUGGGACUGAGAUACGGCCCAGACUCCUACGGGAGGCAGCAGUGGGGAAUAUGGCACAAUGGGCGGAAGCCUGAUGCAGCAACGCCGCGUGCGGGAUGACGGCCUUCGGGUGGUAAACCGCUUUCGCCUGUGACGAAGCGUGAGUGACGGUAAUGGGUAAAGAAGCACCGGCUAACUACGU